GCCAGAGUGCAUAAAAGGACUGGUAUGGAAAUUAACAUUACACCAGAAAGGCGUUUGAAAUGGUUGGCACUUUUAACCUCAACACGAGGUGAAGAAAAUAAACCCACCUCCCAGACCAGAGAGGCAUGUAGAGUUGCAGCUCAUGUCCAGAGGGGUUUGAACCUUGAAUAUCAACAUGAGGAAGCAGCGAAAAGCUCACCUUCAGACAAUCACUGGAACCGUCGACACGGCUGGCUGGCUAUCUUCCAAGGAGCAUCUUCCUGAGUGAACAACAGUAGCAGGCGGGAAAGGGGAGACCCAUUUUGGACAAUCAGAGCCACACAAGCGUGCCGCUGAAAGGCCAACAACCUUCCUAAGUAGGGCUGGUUCCAACAGCGAUAAAUGCCACCAUAUUGUGUCAGUCUGCUAGGAACCUUUUUCUCAUGUAUUAAGUGUGUAUGUUUAUUCUGUGUUAUUAUUUAGUUAGCUAGAAAAUAAAUAAUUAAACCAAUUUGUGUAGCACUGAAUCAUAAGUAAGGC
Molecule: long non-coding RNA, 519 nt
Organism: Oncorhynchus tshawytscha (Chinook salmon)
Lineage: Eukaryota; Metazoa; Chordata; Actinopteri; Salmoniformes; Salmonidae
Source: Ensembl